Molecule: long non-coding RNA, 214 nt
Organism: Mus caroli (Ryukyu mouse)
Lineage: Eukaryota; Metazoa; Chordata; Mammalia; Rodentia; Muridae
Source: RefSeq, a predicted model, not a curated record
AUUCCAGCUGCCAGCGGAAUUUAAAGUUCCGAGUGUCUGUCUCCUUAAGGGUGCUGCAGAGGGCCUUCCUCAGGACCAGAAUGCAGUCACUGAUACAAGAAUAUGUCACUGUGCUCGUACCUACACGCGACAGGUACUGCUCCACAAAGCCAACCUCACAUCUCUCUGAUGUCACUCAGCAGAGUCCAGAGUCUAGACUGUCAUUGAAGACCAC